CCUACGGGAGGCAGCAGUGGGGGAUAUUGCACAAUGGGGGAAACCCUGAUGCAGCGACGCCGCGUGAGCGAAGAAGUAUUUCGGUUUGUAAAGCUCUAUCAGCAGGGAAGAAAAUGACAGUUCCUGACCAAUAAGCCCCUGCCAACUACUUGCCAGCAGCCGCGGUCAUACGUUGGGGGCAAGCGUUAACCGGAUUUACUGGGGGGAAAGGGAGCGGAGGUGGUUAUGUGAAGCUGGAACGAAAGCCCGGGGUCGAAUCCCGGGACUGCUUUGGAGACUGUGUAACGGGAGUACUAGAGAGGCAAGCGGAAUUCCAGGUGAAGCGGUGAAAUGCGUAGAUAUAAGGAAGAACACCAGCGGCGAAGGCGGCCUACUGGACUGAAACUGACGUUGAGGCUCGAAAGCGUGGGGAGCAAACAGGAUUGGAUACCCGGGUAGUC
RNAcentral lists this ribosomal RNA (440 nucleotides) under uncultured bacterium. RNAcentral's name for it is "partial 16S ribosomal RNA". It matches the Rfam family "Bacterial small subunit ribosomal RNA", at positions 338 to 795 of the family's 1533-position model. The record is from RNAcentral.